UUUCUGGUAUGUAUCACCGUUCCGGAGAGACUGGUGGUUAUAGUUCAGGUAAGUUGUUACACGUUUUGUUCUCUUUAUUCUACAUCACGUUAUUGAUUACACUUUUACAAUACCAUCCUUCAGAGCAUUUGGUUAAAAUUAUCUGCAAAGGCUAACUCAAGGGUUCCACGUGGGUUUUUGUAUACUUUGACAACUAGGACACUAGAAUGCAAUAAUUUGCAACCGCUUUAACUGACCGAGAGUUAGUGUGUACAGUUAUAAGGACGGAACUAGUUCAAGGGUUUGGGGGGAGGGGGGGGUUUGGUUCCCCUCCUUUUCACACAAUUUUGGGGAUCCUGCUGGACUCAAGCCACAUACAGGCUGGCCUUCCCCAAGACAUGGAUUGAGAGCACCUUCUCAUGCAUUUGAACUCUACUUGCAAUUAGGUCGGGCGACUGCAUGGAACUUCAAUUGCUGCUGGGGUCGCUCAAUGUUGCCAUGUGAAUCAUCCCACAGGGUAGAUCCUUCAUUUCCCGAUUACUACUCUUUAUUCCCAUGACUCACCACAGACGCAUCACGUAUCACGUUACACUCUUGCAACCUCGUUAGAUACUCUUGCAACCUCUGAUUUACUUAUGUGGUGUUUUUCCUCGAAUACUGGAAAGAGCGAGCCAUGUUUAUUCCCCCUCUCUGACUUUUUACCCUACGUUUGGACAGAUGCCGCUGCAAACGCUGGUUUUGCGGCCAUCGGAGGGAAUAAAUGGCGUUGCGCGUCAUGGCCCAUAGACGUUAAGUCCCGAC
Pelobates cultripes (western spadefoot toad) is the source of this 780-nucleotide non-coding RNA. The record is from the annotation of a GenBank genome assembly. Lineage: Eukaryota; Metazoa; Chordata; Amphibia; Anura; Pelobatidae.